UACGUAGGGUCCGAGCGUUAAUCGGAAUUACUGGGCGUAAAGGGCGCGUAGGCGGCCAUCUAAGUCAGACGUGAAAUCCCCCGGCUUAACCUGGGAACUGCGUCUGAUACUGGACGGCUUGAGUAUGGGAGAGGGAUGUAGAAUUCCAGGUGUAGCGGUGAAAUGCGUAGAUAUCUGGAGGAAUACCGGUGGCGAAGGCGGCAUCCUGGACCAUUACUGACGCUGAGGCGCGAAAGCUAGGGGAGCAAACGGG
This 253-nucleotide ribosomal RNA is filed under the name uncultured bacterium. RNAcentral's name for it is "partial 16S ribosomal RNA". It matches the Rfam family "Bacterial small subunit ribosomal RNA", at positions 524 to 776 of the family's 1533-position model. The record is from RNAcentral.